CAGGAGUGUAAUGUACUUGUGCUCUCUGAGGCCUGGAGCCAGAAGCCAGAUGUUUUUCUGGGAUGACGAGGAGGCGGUUCUAGAACUCUGCCUGUAACAGAUCUACCAGUGAGAUCACGCAUUCACCGACAGUCUACUCUCAGUGAUCAUUAUAACAGAGAAGCCUGUCUUGCUACAGUUUGGUGGAGGGUCAAGAAAGAUGAUUCAGAAGUAUGUCUUUUAAGAGUCUUGGUGACACGCACAGAGCCC
Molecule: long non-coding RNA, 249 nt
Organism: Pan troglodytes (chimpanzee)
Lineage: Eukaryota; Metazoa; Chordata; Mammalia; Primates; Hominidae
Exons: 3
Source: RefSeq, a predicted model, not a curated record